Portunus trituberculatus (swimming crab) is the source of this 1304-nucleotide long non-coding RNA. RefSeq lists it as uncharacterized. The record is from RefSeq and is a predicted model, not a curated record. The transcript is spliced from 3 exons. NCBI's taxonomy places the organism in Eukaryota, Metazoa, Arthropoda, Malacostraca, Decapoda, Portunidae.
AGAAAACCUGCAACAUUGUUGAGAGAGGCAUCGGGCAGCUGAAGCCACAUUUUCACAUGCUACACAGUGAAAUCCAAGUUGGUCCUCCACCCAAGGUCUGCCAAAUUGUAGAGGUUUGUGCAUUGCUGCACAACAUCUGCAAAGCAAGAAACAUCAUUCUUCCUGAGGAAGAAGAACAUCUAGCUGCAGCCGAGGAUGAAGGCAAUGAGGAGCGACCCCCAGCACAGAAAGUUCAAAGUCGCCAUGAAGGAAUCCUUUACAGGGAUGAAUUUGUUGUGCUUCACUUAAACAUUGCUGAGUGAUGAGACACCAGUGUCAUGACUGCUGAGAUUGGUGUUAAUCUCAUGUGGAUGAUCUCCUCCUCAUCCACAUAGACCAGUGAUGUACCAGGCAAGUCUGGCCCCUGUUGGUGCCACAUCACUGGUGCUGGAAGUGGUGUGGCAGGUGCCUCCUCCUCAACACCCACUGCCUCGGUCACCACUUCUCUCUGUUGGGCUGCCUCUGCCACUUCCCCAGCAUCAUCUGCUGCCUGAACACUGCUGGCAUCAUUAGUUCUAACUUCCGAAACUAAGCUGAUAAUGUUUUUGGUUUUAUUGCUAAGGACAAAAGUAACAGAAACCAGUAAAUCUAGCUAAGGGUACAAUGUGUUUGACUUAAAUCCUAUUCUGUUUGAAGGAAGCCCAUGUCUAAGAAACUGUAAAUACCUAAGACUCGUUAUCAUUAACACAUUCACCCACUACAACACCAUACUUAUGAAUGGGGAGAAGGGAUAGGAAUUAAGUUAACUUUAUUAGUUUUUUUUCUUUUCUUAUUGCUGUUUUAUCUGUUUGGUUAAGGAAUAAAAAAAAAAAAAAAAAAAAUUCUCAACACUAGAUAACAAAUUUAAUAUUGUGUAUAACUAAGUUGUAAACUAACUAGGAACAUGAGUAUUUUGGAUUGCAGACAUUUGAGACAACAUUAUGGCCUAAUAUUGCUAUAUCUACAAGUGGCUUAUCCUUUGUUAAGGAAGGUGCAUUCAAUGAUGCUUGCCUUAUUGGUACACCCAUGAAUAGAGACAUUCUUGGGGUCCAAAAUCUCAAAGAUUAACUCAUCGAGCUGGGAGAGAGGAGGGUUGGCAGGAGGUCCACCACCUGGAAAGUAUAAUAUAAUCUUAUUGCUAAUGAAUUGCAAAUACAAAUAAAUAAUUUAUAAAGUGUGUUUUCACAUAACAUAUGUAACUCAGAUGUGUGGUUGGAGUAAUAUUAUUUGUCAGAGGUAGACAUUGCAUCAUAAUUAGUGUGUGCAAUAAAUGCAUCCACUUCACA